This 593-nucleotide ribosomal RNA is filed under the name uncultured Burkholderia sp. Its description in RNAcentral is "bacterial SSU rRNA". It matches the Rfam family "Bacterial small subunit ribosomal RNA", at positions 329 to 915 of the family's 1533-position model. The record is from RNAcentral. Lineage: Bacteria; Pseudomonadati; Pseudomonadota; Betaproteobacteria; Burkholderiales; Burkholderiaceae.
AGAGUCACUCCUACGGGAGGCAGCAGUGGGGAAUUUUGGACAAUGGGGGCAACCCUGAUCCAGCAAUGCCGCGUGUGUGAAGAAGGCCUUCGGGUUGUAAAGCACUUUUGUCCGGAAAGAAAACCUCCGUCCUAAUACGGUGGGGGGAUGACGGUACCGGAAGAAUAAGCACCGGCUAACUACGUGCCAGCAGCCGCGGUAAUACGUAGGGUGCAAGCGUUAAUCGGAAUUACUGGGCGUAAAGCGUGCGCAGGCGGUUCGCUAAGACCGAUGUGAAAUCCCCGGGCUUAACCUGGGAACUGCAUUGGUGACUGGCGGGCUAGAGUAUGGCAGAGGGGGGUAGAAUUCCACGUGUAGCAGUGAAAUGCGUAGAGAUGUGGAGGAAUACCGAUGGCGAAGGCAGCCCCCUGGGCCAAUACUGACGCUCAUGCACGAAAGCGUGGGGAGCAAACAGGAUUAGAUACCCUGGUAGUCCACGCCCUAAACGAUGUCAACUAGUUGUCGGGUCUUCAUUGACUUGGUAACGAAGCUAACGCGUGAAGUUGACCGCCUGGGGAGUACGGUCGCAAGAUUAAAACUCAAAGGAAUUGACG